RNAcentral lists this long non-coding RNA (1209 nucleotides) under Marmota monax (woodchuck). The record is from RNAcentral. Lineage: Eukaryota; Metazoa; Chordata; Mammalia; Rodentia; Sciuridae.
UCUCACUAAGUUGCUUAGGACCUCGCUAAGUUGCUGAAUUUGGCUUUGAACAUGAGAUCCUAUUGCCUCAGCCUGCCAAGUCUCUGGGAUUGUAGACUUGGGCCACUGCACCCACCUCCAUGUUGCCUCUUGGGGGAAACAAAAGAUGAAGUAAACAUGAGUUGCAUGGUGCAGGCUGCUGCUGGUGUAUUGCUUUCCUGUAUAUUUUUCCAUAAAGAGACUACACUCUAAUGAUCAGAAGUGAAGUAUAGUGAGUAGCUAAAUAGUAGCACAGUCCCUUACUAUCAUCAAGUAUGCUGUACUUGUACAUAAUUGCACGUGCUCUACUUUUAUACCACUGGCCACACAGUAGGUUUAUUUACACUAUCACCGCCACACACAUGUAGUGUGUUGCACUAGGAUGUUAACAUGGCUGUGGUGUCACUGGGUGAGAGGAGGUUUCAAGCUCCUUCGUGUGCAUUCUAUGUGGCCGUCCUUGGGUGAACUGUCCUUAUGUAGCCCAGGACUGUCCUCAGGGUUUCUUGCCCUAGUUCUCCCCGAGACAGAGGUGAUAAUGGCCCAUGCCUCCUGGUUCUCCCUUCUUCUGUGACCCAAGGCCUGUGCCUCCCUCCUUCCUCCCACCGCCCACUCUGCUUCUUCCUGUGGGGGGAACCUGGGGGCUUGUCAGGGCCCCACCCUGUGUCCUGAAACAAGGCCCAUGUGUGGCUGCCACCCAGGCGCUGCCUUCCAGGCCCACAGACGCCAUUGCCCUGGCUUCCCCGCCUGUCUUGCCAUGGCAGGCAGACCCCUCGUCCCUUGGUCUUGUCUUCUUGCCAGUUUGGUUUUGUUUGAAGGUGAGGGGUGCGUGGAGCCAUGCCUGAGAGGUCAAAAGUCCACAAUGAAUGAUUGAUUCUCAACUUUUGGUUGAAUUACCACAUAGAUGAUUAGAGAAGUGCCCGGAAGGGUAAGGCUCCCUGCGGGUUUUGCUGACCCAGCACACUCAGGUCAAUGGUGCCCAGGUCAGGAGACAGAGGUGACUGCACCUCCAAACCACCCUUUGGCAGCUUUCCAGUUCCUCCCCUCAAAGGUGACAACUGUCCGCACACCUCAUCACCCUGGCAGUUUAGCUUAUCAAGGUCCCAAAACAGGACUAAUGUAUGCUAGGAAUGCUGAACCAAAGGAUAAACACAAGAAUGUGAACUUUUGUAAAAAAACAAAAACAAAAAUAAA